AGUGGUAGUUCAGUUGGUUAGAAUACCGGCCUGUCACGCCGGGGGUCGCGGGUUCGAGUCCCGUCCACUG
Molecule: transfer RNA, 70 nt
Filed under: Denitrificimonas caeni
Lineage: Bacteria; Pseudomonadati; Pseudomonadota; Gammaproteobacteria; Pseudomonadales; Pseudomonadaceae
Also listed under: 3 other names
Rfam family: tRNA
About the family: Transfer RNA (tRNA) molecules are approximately 80 nucleotides in length.
Source: RNAcentral